AACGAACGCUGGCGGCAUGCCUAACACAUGCAAGUCGAACGAGACCUUCGGGUCUAGUGGCGCACGGGUGCGUAACGCGGGGGAACCUGCCCUUAGGUUCGGAAUAACUCCCCGAAAGGGGUGCUAAUACCGGAUAAUGUCUUCGGACCAAAGAUUGAUCGCCUUUGGGUGGGCCGGCGUUGGAUUAGCUAGUUGGUAGGGUAAAAGCCUCCCAAGGCGACGAUGCAUAGCUGGUCUGAGAGGAUGAUCAGCCACACUGGGAGUGAGACACGGCCCAGACUCCUACGGGAGGCAGCAGUGGGGAAUAUUGGACAAUGGGCGAAAGCAUGAUCCAGCAAUGCCGCGUGAGUGAUGAAGGCCUUAGGGUUGUAAAGCUCUUUUACCCGGGAUGAUAAUGACAGUACCGGGAGAAUAAGCUCCGGCUAACUCCGUG
RNAcentral lists this ribosomal RNA (433 nucleotides) under uncultured bacterium. Its description in RNAcentral is "partial 16S ribosomal RNA". It matches the Rfam family "Bacterial small subunit ribosomal RNA", at positions 29 to 507 of the family's 1533-position model. The record is from RNAcentral.